CCUACGGGAGGCAGCAGUGAGGAAUAUUGGUCAAUGGGAGGAAUCCUGAACCAGCCAUGCAGCGUGCAGGACGACGGCUCUACGAGUUGUAAACUUCUUUUGUACCGGGGUAAAAUGCUCCACGAGUAGGGUUUUGCAUGUACUGUAUGAAUAAGGAUCGGCUAACUCCGUGCCAGCAGCCGCGGUAAUACGGAGGAUCCGAGCGUUAUCCGGAUUUAUUGGGUUUAAAGGGAGCGUAGGUGGUUUUAUAAGUUAGUGGUGAAAGACUGAUGCUCAACCGUGAGACUGCCACUGAUACUGGCAGACUAGAGAACGGAUGCGGCAGGCGGAAUGUGUAGUGUAGCGGUGAAAUGCAUAGAUAUCACGAAGAACCCCGAUUGCGAAGGCAGCUUGCUAGGCCGUGUCUGACACUGAUGCACGAAAGCGUGGGGAUCGAACAGGAUUAGAUACCCUUGUAGUC
RNAcentral lists this ribosomal RNA (460 nucleotides) under uncultured bacterium. RNAcentral's name for it is "partial 16S ribosomal RNA". It matches the Rfam family "Bacterial small subunit ribosomal RNA", at positions 338 to 795 of the family's 1533-position model. The record is from RNAcentral.